GUAGGUGGCAAGCGUUGUCCGGAAUUAUUGGGCGUAAAGCGCGCGCAGGCGGUUCUUUAAGUCUGAUGUGAAAGCCCACGGCUCAACCGUGGAGGGUCAUUGGAAACUGGAGAACUUGAGUACAGAAGAGGAAAGCGGAAUUCCACGUGUAGCGGUGAAAUGCGUAGAGAUGUGGAGGAACACCAGUGGCGAAGGCGGCUUUCUGGUCUGUAACUGACGCUGAGGCGCGAAAGCGUGGGGAGCAAACAGGGAUUAGAUACCCUGGUAGUCCACGCCGUAAACCGAUGAGUGCUAAGUGUUAGGGGGUUUCCGCCCCCUUAGUGCUGCAGCUAACGCAUUAAGCACUCCGCCUGGGGAGUACGGCCGCAAGGCUG
This 374-nucleotide ribosomal RNA is filed under the name uncultured organism. RNAcentral describes it as "partial 16S ribosomal RNA". It matches the Rfam family "Bacterial small subunit ribosomal RNA", at positions 527 to 896 of the family's 1533-position model. The record is from RNAcentral.